RNAcentral lists this unclassified non-coding RNA (84 nucleotides) under Chryseobacterium indoltheticum. RNAcentral's name for it is "Flavo-1 RNA". The record is from RNAcentral. Lineage: Bacteria; Pseudomonadati; Bacteroidota; Flavobacteriia; Flavobacteriales; Weeksellaceae.
AACUUACCAUUGGAGCGGCAUCCUUUUUCUUGCGAGGGAUUAAAAGCGGAGGCGAAAAAGAUAUAGCGGAAAGCAGGUUCCCGG